UACAGUUGAGUUUGAGCCUGGCUCAGGGAGUCGUAACAAGGUAACCAGGUGAGUUUGGGCACGGCUAAGUAGUUGGUGCGUGGCCAGCCUGUAAGACUGGGAUAACUCCGGGAAACCGGGGCUAAUACCGGAUGCUUGAUUGAACCGCAUGGUUCAAUCAUAAAAGGUGGCUUUCAGCUACCACUUGCAGAUGGACCCGCGGCGCAUUAGCUAGUUGGUGAGGUAACGGCUCACCAAGGCGACGAUGCGUAGCCGACCUGAGAGGGUGAUCGGCCACACUGGGACUGAGACACGGCCCAGACUCCUACGGGAGGCAGCAGUAGGGAAUCUUCCGCAAUGGACGAAAGUCUGACGGAGCAACGCCGCGUGAGUGAUGAAGGUUUUCGGAUCGUAAAACUCUGUUGUUAGGGAAGAACAAGUACCGUUCGAAUAGGGCGGUACCUUGACGGUACCUAACCAGAAAGCCACGGCUAACUACGUGCCAGCAGCCGCGGUAAUACGUAGGUGGCAAGCGUUGUCCGGAAUUAUUGGGCGUAAAGCGCGCGCAGGCGGUUUCUUAAGUCUGAUGUGAAAGCCCCCGGCUCAACCGGGGAGGGUCAUUGGAAACUGGGGAACUUGAGUGCAAAAGAGGAGAGUGGAAUUCCACGUGUAGCGGUGAAAUGCGUAGAGAUGUGGAGGAACACCAGUGGCGAAGGCGACUCUCUGGUCUGUAACUGACGCUGAGGCGCGAAAGCGUGGGGAGCGAACAGGAUUAGAUACCCUGGUAGUCCACGCCGUAAACGAUGAGUGCUAAGUGUUAGAGGGUUUCCGCCCUUUAGUGCUGCAGCAAACGCAUUAAGCACUCCGCCUGGGGAGUACGGUCGCAAGACUGAAACUCAAAGGAAUUGACGGGGGCCCGCACAAGCUGUGGAGCAUGUGGUUUAAUUCGAAGCAACGCGAAGAACCUUACCAGGUCUUGACAUCCUCUGACACCCUAGAGAUAGAGCUUCACCUUCGGGGGCAGAGUGACAGCGUGCUGCAUGGUUGUCGUCAGCUCGUGUCGAUGAGAUGUUGGGAUAAGUACCCGCAACGAGGCGCAAUCCCAUGAUCUAGGUGGCAGCAUUCAGUUUGGGCACUUCUAAGAUGACUGCCGGGUGAAA
Molecule: ribosomal RNA, 1139 nt
Filed under: bacterium
Lineage: Bacteria
Description: bacterial SSU rRNA
Rfam family: Bacterial small subunit ribosomal RNA
Source: RNAcentral